This 648-nucleotide ribosomal RNA is filed under the name uncultured Alphaproteobacteria bacterium. RNAcentral describes it as "bacterial SSU rRNA". It matches the Rfam family "Bacterial small subunit ribosomal RNA", at positions 50 to 744 of the family's 1533-position model. The record is from RNAcentral. Lineage: Bacteria; Pseudomonadati; Pseudomonadota; Alphaproteobacteria.
AAUACAUGCAAGUCGAACGAGAUCUUCGGAUCUAGUGGCGCACGGGUGCGUAACGCGUGGGAAUCUGCCCUUGGGUUCGGAAUAACUUCUGGAAACGGAAGCUAAUACCGGAUGAUGACGUAAGUCCAAAGAUUUAUCGCCCAAGGAUGAGCCCGCGUAGGAUUAGCUAGUUGGUGGGGUAAAGGCCCACCAAGGCGACGAUCCUUAGCUGGUCUGAGAGGAUGAUCAGCCACACUGGGACUGAGACACGGCCCAGACUCCUACGGGAGGCAGCAGUAGGGAAUAUUGGACAAUGGGCGAAAGCCUGAUCCAGCAAUGCCGCGUGAGUGAUGAAGGCCUUAGGGUUGUAAAGCUCUUUUACCCGGGAUGAUAAUGACAGUACCGGGAGAAUAAGCUCCGGCUAACUCCGUGCCAGCAGCCGCGGUAAUACGGAGGGAGCUAGCGUUGUUCGGAAUUACUGGGCGUAAAGCGCACGUAGGCGGCUAUUCAAGUCAGAGGUGAAAGCCCGGGGCUCAACCCCGGAACUGCCUUUGAAACUAGAUAGCUUGAAUCCAGGAGAGGUGAGUGGAAUUCCGAGUGUAGAGGUGAAAUUCGUAGAUAUUCGGAAGAACACCAGUGGCGAAGGCGGCUCACUGGACUGGUAUUGAC